Molecule: long non-coding RNA, 516 nt
Filed under: Nicotiana benthamiana
Lineage: Eukaryota; Viridiplantae; Streptophyta; Magnoliopsida; Solanales; Solanaceae
Description: long non-coding RNA (NBEN_LNC011481)
Source: RNAcentral
ACCGGAAAACCAUCAUCCACGCGCCCCCACGCGCCGGCUAUACCCUCGGCGCGUGAGCCCACGUGCCGGCGCGUGAGGGCAGUUCCGGCCAGUUUUUCAGUUCGCUCCUUCAGGACAGUUUGGUCGGCCUUCGAUUCCGAUCCUACCCAUACCUUUUUCGUUCGAUUCCGACAACUUCCAAUUUUUUCCAGCGACUUUAUUGACUUUUCCGGCAGCUACAGUACUUUCCGGCCAGAAUUUCUUCAGGACAGUUUUCUCAACCUUGAAUUCCGAGCCUAUCCAUAUUUUUAUUUUUCAAUUCCGACAACUUUUAAUUUUUCCGGCAGCUACAGUACUUUUCCGGCAGCGCCAGUUUUCAGUUCUCUGUUUCAGUUUCAGCGAGUUUUCAGUUGAUAAUCCAAAGAUGUCUUUGAGACUAGAUGCUUUCGGGUCUAGAAACCAGGGUUCUGGCAGUUCCGGUAUUAUGAUUACCUCAGAACCUUUAAUGGGAGGUUCAAACUACCUAGCUUGGGNNNN